RNAcentral lists this ribosomal RNA (301 nucleotides) under uncultured bacterium. RNAcentral describes it as "partial 16S ribosomal RNA". It matches the Rfam family "Bacterial small subunit ribosomal RNA", at positions 509 to 807 of the family's 1533-position model. The record is from RNAcentral.
CAGUCGCCACGGGAAUACAGAGGGUGCGAGCGUUAAUCGGAUUUACUGGGCGUAAAGCGUGCGUAGGCGGCUUUUUAAGUCGGAUGUGAAAUCCCUGAGCUUAACUUAGGAAUUGCAUUCGAUACUGGGAAGCUAGAGUAUGGGAGAGGAUGGUAGAAUUCCAGGUGUAGCGGUGAAAUGCGUAGAGAUCUGGAGGAAUACCGAUGGCGAAGGCAGCCAUCUGGCCUAAUACUGACGCUGAGGUACGAAAGAAUGGGGAGCAAACAGGAUUAGAUACCCCGGUAGUCCCUGUCUCUUAUAC